RNAcentral lists this long non-coding RNA (275 nucleotides) under Selaginella moellendorffii. RNAcentral's name for it is "long non-coding RNA (SMOE_LNC001181)". Lineage: Eukaryota; Viridiplantae; Streptophyta; Lycopodiopsida; Selaginellales; Selaginellaceae. The record is from RNAcentral.
AUAGCUUCAUCCUCCACCCGGCUUGCAGCCGCUUCGUCCUUGCGAGCAACAGCGGUCGACCAGGAAGAGCUCUCGCUGGAUUCGUCCGGUGUCUCGUACCAAGUGCUGAAACAAAGAUUGGAAGCCGGUGAGUGGGAAGCAGCAGACGAGGAAACUCGACGACUUCUCUACGUUUUAGCCGGUGAAGCUGCCGCCAAGCGGAAGUGGGUCUACUUUUCCGAAGCACAGUUCAUCCCGGCCAGGGACCUUCAAACGCUCGACAGUCUCUGGAGGCA